This 941-nucleotide ribosomal RNA is filed under the name uncultured bacterium. RNAcentral's name for it is "bacterial SSU rRNA". It matches the Rfam family "Bacterial small subunit ribosomal RNA", at positions 15 to 873 of the family's 1533-position model. The record is from RNAcentral.
GAUCAUGCUCAGAMYGAWRWCGUKGGCGGCGUGGAUUAGGCAUGCAAGUCGAGCGAGAAUCUAUAAAUGGAAGCUUCGGCCGAAGUUUGUAGAGGACAGCGGCAAACGGCGUAGUAAUGCGUAGGUAACGUACCCUCAGGUCUGGGAUAGCCACGGGAAACUGUGGGUAAUACCGGAUAAUAUCUGGUUGUUGAGAAACGACCGGAUCAAAGGUGUGAUUCCGUCUGAGGAGCGGCUUACGUGGUAUUAGCUUGUUGGUGGGGUAAUGGCCUACCAAGGCUGAGAUGCCUAGGGGGUGUGAGAGCAUGGCCCCCACGACUGGGACUGAGACACUGCCCAGACACCUACGGGUGGCUGCAGUCGAGAAUCUUCGGCAAUGGACGCAAGUCUGACCGAGCGACGCCGCGUGCGGGAUGAAGGCCCUUGGGUUGUAAACCGCUGUCAGAGGGGAUGAAAUGCGGGAAGGCAAUCCUUCCCGUUUGACAAAGCCUCAGAGGAAGCACGGGCUAAGUACGUGCCAGCAGCCGCGGUAACACGUACUGUGCGAACGUUAUUCGGAAUCACUGGGCUUAAAGGGUGCGUAGGCGGCUAAACAAGUCGGGGUGUGAAAUGCCUGGGCUCAACCGAGGCACUGCGCUCGAAACUGUUUAGCUUGAGWAARUAUAGGGGGUGUUGKGGAAACUUCCAGGUGGAGCGGUGAAAUGUGUGURUAUAUUUGGGAAGAGAMCCGCCGGGUGGGCGAAAGCGACACACUGGGGUCUUAACUGACGCUCAUGCACGAAAGCCAGGGUAGCGAACGGGAUUAGAUACCCCGGUAGUCCUGGCUGUAAACGUUGAGCACUAGUUUGGGAGGGGCUUCGGCCUUUCMGGACGUAGCGAAAGCGAUAAGUGCUCCGCCUGGRRUARUAKKUCGCMAGACKGACUACUACACAGAGUGCGUA